GCCUUCGUAGUGUAAUGGUCAGCGCGCUCGGCGCGUAUUCCAGAGAUGUGUGGUUCGAGUCCCGGCGAGGGCA
Molecule: transfer RNA, 73 nt
Filed under: Stegodyphus mimosarum
Lineage: Eukaryota; Metazoa; Arthropoda; Arachnida; Araneae; Eresidae
Rfam family: tRNA
About the family: Transfer RNA (tRNA) molecules are approximately 80 nucleotides in length. Their secondary structure includes four short double-helical elements and three loops (D, anti-codon, and T loops). Further hydrogen bonds mediate the characteristic L-shaped molecular structure. tRNAs have two regions of fundamental functional importance: the anti-codon, which is responsible for specific mRNA codon recognition, and the 3' end, to which the tRNAs corresponding amino acid is attached (by aminoacyl-tRNA synthetases). tRNAs cope with the degeneracy of the genetic code in two manners: having more than one tRNA (with a specific anti-codon) for a particular amino acid; and 'wobble' base-pairing, i.e. permitting non-standard base-pairing at the 3rd anti-codon position.
Source: Rfam by way of RNAcentral